Molecule: non-coding RNA, 24 nt
Filed under: Rattus norvegicus (Norway rat)
Lineage: Eukaryota; Metazoa; Chordata; Mammalia; Rodentia; Muridae
Source: RNAcentral
UGUCACUAGAAUCCUCUUCUUUUG